CAGCAGCCGCGGUAAUACGUAGGGACCAAGCGUUGUCCGGAUUUAUUGGGCGUAAAGAGCUCGUAGGCGGUUCCGUAAGUCGGAUGUGAAAACUCAGGGCUCAACCCUGAGACGCCAUCUGAUACUGCGGUGACUAGAGUCCGGUAGGGGAGCAUGGAAUUCCUGGUGUAGCGGUGGAAUGCGCAGAUAUCAGGAGGAACACCAAUGGCGAAGGCAGCGCUCUGGGCCGGUACUGACGCUGAGGAGCGAAAGCAUGGGGAGCAAACAGGAUUAGAUACCCUGGUAGUCCAUGCCGUAAACGUUGGGCACUAGGUGUGGGGUCUUCUAACGGAUUCCGUGCCGUACCUAACGCAUUAAGUGCCCCGCCUGGGGAGUACGGCCGCAAGGCUAAAACUCAAAGGAAUUGACGGGGGCCCGCACAAGCGGCGGAGCAUGUUGCUUAAUUCGAGGCAACGCGAAGAACCUUACCUGGGUUUGACUACUGAGGGCCGGUACAGAGAUGUACCCUUCCCUUCGGGGACUUCAGGAGAGGUGCUGCAUGGCUGUCGUCAGCUCGUGCCGUGAGAUGUUGGGUUAAGUCCCGCAACGAGCGCAACCCCUUUCUUUAGUUACCAUCAUUUAGUUGGGGACUCUAAAGAUACUGCCCCGGUUAACGGGGAGGAAGGUGGGGAUGACGUCAAGUCCUCAUGGCCUUUAUGUCCAGGGCUACACACGUGCUACAAUGGGCUGUACAAAGGGUUGCCAACCUGCGAAGGUGAGCUAAUCCCAGAAAGCAGUUCGUAGUUCGGAUUGGAGUCUGCAACUCGACUCCAUGAAGCUGGAAUCGCUAGUAAUCGUGGAUCAGC
This 845-nucleotide ribosomal RNA is filed under the name uncultured bacterium. RNAcentral's name for it is "bacterial SSU rRNA". It matches the Rfam family "Bacterial small subunit ribosomal RNA", at positions 509 to 1353 of the family's 1533-position model. The record is from RNAcentral.